GAUGAACGCUGGCGGCGUGCCUAACACAUGCAAGUCGAACGGAGUCCAGCCUUUAAGACCUUCGGGUCAAAGAGGGGAAGACUGAGUGGCGGACGGGUGAGUAACACGUGGGCAACCUGGCUCAUAGAGGGGGAUAACAGAGAGAAAUUUCUGCUAAUACCGCAUAAGCACACACUGCCGCAUGGCAGAGGGUGAAAAGAGAAUCGCUAUGAGAUGGACCCGCGUCUGAUUAGCCAGUUGGCAGGGUAAGAGCCUACCAAAGCGACGAUCAGUAGCCGAUCUGAGAGGAUGAACGGCCACAUUGGGACUGAGACACGGCCCAAACUCCCACGGGAGGCAGCAGUGGGGGAUAUUGCACAAUGGGGGGAACCCUGAUGCAGCGACGCCGCGUGAGUGAAGAAGUAUUUCGGUAUGUAAAGCUCUAUCAGCAGGGAAGAUAAUGACAGUACCCGAAUAAGAAGCCCCGGCUAACUACGUG
RNAcentral lists this ribosomal RNA (478 nucleotides) under uncultured bacterium. RNAcentral describes it as "partial 16S ribosomal RNA". It matches the Rfam family "Bacterial small subunit ribosomal RNA", at positions 28 to 507 of the family's 1533-position model. The record is from RNAcentral.